CUAUGGACGCUUUGUCGGCRGGGCUUGGGGCGGAAGUGCCAAUGAAACAUGGCAUCAGAGAGGGUCAUAGUCCCGUGCUCGCUCAAUCCAAGCCCGUGUGCAGCGAAAAGUGCUCCGCGAGUCGCAUAGUUUGGUAAUGCUAUGCCAAGUGGGAGGUAGAGCCCUUCUAAAGCUAAAUAUGAUGAUGUGACCGAUAGUUCACAAGUACCGCGAGGGAAAGGUGAAAAGUAACCAUGUAGAAUGGGUUGAAAGAGAAGUGAAAGUGCUACCGGGAUAAGGGCAUGUGACAGCUGGUGUCUGUAGGGCGUGCUUCAGUGCUGUCCUUCUAGAACGGUGUGCGGAUGUGUCCGAUGGGGAGACAAGGCYGUCUGGGAAUGUGGCUCAACCUUCGGGAUGAGUGUUAUAGCCCGGCGUGCAAAAGAACCCCRUGACACAUGUGAACUGUGCAUCUUGCUGUGGCAUGCCUCCCGUCUCGAAACACGGACCAAGGAGUGCAUCUUGCAUGCGAGUCGAAGGGGGUUGGAAUCCCUGGAGGCGUAGCGAAAGCGAAAGACUGUGAAUUGUUGGCAGGCCCUUGUGGCCAGAUGGGAUGAUAAAUCAGCAGCGACCCGCUUUGUGCGAGGGAGAGCAUGCAGGAUACGACCCGAAAGAUGGUGAGCUAUGCUUGGACAAGGUGAAGCCAGUGGAAACGCUGGUGGAGGC
RNAcentral lists this ribosomal RNA (702 nucleotides) under uncultured Tulasnella. RNAcentral's name for it is "LSU rRNA". It matches the Rfam family "Eukaryotic large subunit ribosomal RNA", at positions 150 to 874 of the family's 3401-position model. The record is from RNAcentral. Lineage: Eukaryota; Fungi; Basidiomycota; Agaricomycetes; Cantharellales; Tulasnellaceae.